RNAcentral lists this ribosomal RNA (1374 nucleotides) under uncultured bacterium. Its description in RNAcentral is "bacterial SSU rRNA". It matches the Rfam family "Bacterial small subunit ribosomal RNA", at positions 29 to 1394 of the family's 1533-position model. The record is from RNAcentral.
UUGAACGCUGGCGGUAUGCUUAACACAUGCAAGUCGAACGGAAACGAUACUAGCUUGCUAGUAGGCGUCGAGUGGCGGACGGGUGAGUAACGCGUAGGAAUCUGCCUGAUAGUGGGGGAUAGCCCGAAGAAAUUCGGAUUAAUACCGCAUAAUCUAUUCGUAGUAAAGUGGGGGACUUUCGAGCCUCACGCUAUCAGAUGAGCCUGCGUAAGAUUAGUUUGUUGGUGGGGUAAAAGCCCACCAAGGCGACGAUCUUUAGCUGGUCUGAGAGGAUGAUCAGCCACAUCGGGACUGAGACACGGCCCGAACUCCUACGGGAGGCAGCAGUGGGGAAUAUUGGACAAUGGGGGCAACCCUGAUCCAGCAAUACCGCGUGUGUGAAGAAGGCCUGAGGGUUGUAAAGCACUUUCAAUUGUGAAGAAAAGUUAGCGGUUAAUAACCGUUAGCCUUGACGUUAACUUUAGAAGAAGCACCGGCUAACUCCGUGCCAGCAGCCGCGGUAAUACGGAGGGUGCAAGCGUUAAUCGGAAUUACUGGGCGUAAAGCGUGCGUAGGCGGUUUAUUAAGUCAGAUGUGAAAGCCCCGGGCUUAACCUGGGAACUGCAUUUGAAACUGGUCAACUAGAGUAUGGUAGAGGAAAGUGGAAUUUCUGGUGUAGCGGUGAAAUGCGUAGAUAUCAGAAGGAACAUCAAUGGCGAAGGCAGCUUUCUGGACCAAUACUGACGCUGAGGUACGAAAGCGUGGGUAGCAAACAGGAUUAGAUACCCUGGUAGUCCACGCCGUAAACGAUGAUAACUAGCCGUUGGGGGGAUUUACCCUUUAGUGGCGAAGCUAACGCGUUAAGUUAUCCGCCUGGGGAGUACGGCCGCAAGGUUAAAACUCAAAGGAAUUGACGGGGACCCGCACAAGCGGUGGAGCAUGUGGUUUAAUUCGAUGCAACGCGAAGAACCUUACCUGGUCUUGACAUCCUGCGAACUUUCUAGAAAUAGAUUGGUGCCUUCGGGAACGCAGUGACAGGUGCUGCAUGGCUGUCGUCAGCUCGUGUCGUGAGAUGUUGGGUUAAGUCCCGUAACGAGCGCAACCCCUAUCCUUAUUUGCCAGCACAUCAUGGUGGGAACUAUAAGGAGACUGCCGGUGAUAAACCGGAGGAAGGCGGGGACGACGUCAAGUCAUCAUGGCCCUUACGACCAGGGCUACACACGUGCUACAAUGGGAAGGACAAAGAGCCGCGAAGCCGCGAGGUGUAGCUAAUCUCAUAAACCUUUUCGUAGUCCGGAUUGGAGUCUGCAACUCGACUCCAUGAAGUCGGAAUCGCUAGUAAUCGUAGAUCAGAAUGCUACGGUGAAUACGUUCCCGGGUCUUGUACACACCGCC